RNAcentral lists this ribosomal RNA (346 nucleotides) under uncultured bacterium. RNAcentral's name for it is "bacterial SSU rRNA". It matches the Rfam family "Bacterial small subunit ribosomal RNA", at positions 8 to 349 of the family's 1533-position model. The record is from RNAcentral.
AGAGUUUGAUCCUGGCUCAGGAUGAACGCUAGCUACAGGCUUAACACAUGCAAGUCGAGGGGCAGCAUGUUGGUUGCUUGCAACCAAUGAUGGCGACCGGCGCACGGGUGAGUAACGCGUAUCCAACCUACCCUUGUCCAUCGGAUAACCCGUCGAAAGGCGGCCUAACACGAUAUGCGGUUCUCAGCAGGCAUCUAACGAGAACGAAAUGUGAAGGAGAAGGAUGGGGAUGCGUCUGAUUAGCUUGUUGGCGGGUAACGGCCACAAGGCGACGAUCAGUAGGGGUUCUGAGAGGAAGGUCCCCCANAUUGGAACUGAGACACGGUACCAAACUCCUACGGGAGCA